UACGUAGGGUGCGAGCGUUGUCCGGAAUUACUGGGCGUAAAGAGCUCGUAGGUGGUUUGUCGCGUUGUUCGUGAAAACUCACAGCUUAACUGUGGGCGUGCGGGCGAUACGGGCAGACUGGAGUACUGCAGGGGAGACUGGAAUUCCUGGUGUAGCAGUGAAAUGCGUAGAUAUCAGGAGGAACACCGAUGGCGAAGGCAGGUCUCUGGGCUGACACUGACGCUCAUGCACGAAAGCGUGGGGAGCAAACAGG
This 253-nucleotide ribosomal RNA is filed under the name uncultured bacterium. RNAcentral describes it as "partial 16S ribosomal RNA". It matches the Rfam family "Bacterial small subunit ribosomal RNA", at positions 524 to 776 of the family's 1533-position model. The record is from RNAcentral.